AGAGUUUGAUCCUGGCUCAGAACGAACGCUGGCGGCAGGCCUAACACAUGCAAGUCGAGCGCGCCCUUCGGGGUGAGCGGCGGACGGGUUAGUAACGCGUGGGAACGUGCCCAGAUCUAAGGAAUAGCCACUGGAAACGGUGAGUAAUACCUUAUACGCCCUUCGGGGGAAAGAUUUAUCGGAUUUGGAUCGGCCCGCGUUAGAUUAGGUAGUUGGUGGGGUAAUGGCCUACCAAGCCUACGAUCUAUAGCUGGUUUUAGAGGAUGAUCAGCAACACUGGGACUGAGACACGGCCCAGACUCCUACGGGAGGCAGCAGUGGGGAAUCUUGGACAAUGGGGGCAACCCUGAUCCAGCCAUGCCGCGUGAGUGAUGAAGGCCUUAGGGUCGUAAAGCUCUUUCGCCUGUGAUGAUAAUGACAGUAGCAGGUAAAGAAACCCCGGCUAACUCCGUGCCGGCAGCCGCGGUAAUACGGAGGGGGUUAGCGUUGUUCGGAAUUACUGGGCGUAAAGCGCGCGUAGGCGGAUUAGUCAGUUAGAGGUGAAAUCCCAGGGCUCAACCCUGGAACUGCCUUUAAUACUGCUAGUCUUGAGUUCGAGAGAGGUGAGUGGAAUUCCGAGUGUAGAGGUGAAAUUCGUAGAUAUUCGGAGGAACACCAGUGGCGAAGGCGGCUCACUGGCUCGAUACUGACGCUGAGGUGCGAAAGUGUGGGGAGCAAACAGGAUUAGAUACCCUGGUAGUCCACACCGUAAACGAUGAAUGCCAGUCGUCGGCAAGCAUGCUUGUCGGUGACACACCUAACGGAUUAAGCAUUCCGCCUGGGGAGUACGGUCGCAAGAUUAAAACUUAAAGGAAUUGACGG
This 861-nucleotide ribosomal RNA is filed under the name uncultured marine bacterium. Its description in RNAcentral is "bacterial SSU rRNA". It matches the Rfam family "Bacterial small subunit ribosomal RNA", at positions 8 to 916 of the family's 1533-position model. The record is from RNAcentral.